Molecule: long non-coding RNA, 2274 nt
Filed under: Carica papaya (papaya)
Lineage: Eukaryota; Viridiplantae; Streptophyta; Magnoliopsida; Brassicales; Caricaceae
Description: long non-coding RNA (CPAP_LNC007088)
Source: RNAcentral
AUAUAUAUGUGGGAGGGUGGAAUGAACGAUUGGGAUGGGAUGGGCAAAAUCAACGGUCAGGAUGUGAAGUUGGGAUGGGUAUAAAAGGGCGUCGAACAGAGAGAGGAAAGAAAGAAGAUGGAAAGAAGGGAAAAGGUAAAACGUAGAGUGCAUGAGAGAGAGAGGAGACAAUUGUGAGAGGCGUUAAUCAGCGGCAAGUGUGGAAGGAGAACUGCUCAGAAGUUCGGGAAUAAGUGAGGUUGCAGUAGCUUUGGGAGAUAGAGGAGUAUGGAAGCAAGAGGUAAAAGGAAUUUAAAAUUAUAAACUAAUUUAGGGCAAACCAUGGUGAAAUUGUAUGUGCAGGUUAAUGGAAAUGCUCCAUGUCAAUGAGACAAAAGUAUAGGAGUUGUGAUAGCUCAAGAAGUGUAAGAGAAGCUGAGGUAUGUGAAGGGAGAGGGAACACACUAUAGAGAGAUGUGUACGGUUUGGUAGUCGAGUGUGUGACGGAGAUAAGUGAACUUGAGGUGUUGUGGGAACAGGACAAAGCUUUUGGAUGAGAAAUUUGUGUGUACUCGAUAGGUGAGGUAAAUGUGAGAUUGGGAUACAUUAUUGUAUAAGUAUAAGUAUAGGCGAUGGGUGACUUAUGGUGGGUGUAGGUUCAGGUGUGGGGGUGUGUAAGGUUGUUUGGUCGAGGGAGACACCUUCUGUUAUGCAGGGAUGGUGGUCCGUAGUCUGUGUGUGUGUAGUUGUAAGUGGGUGGGGGUUUGUUAGGGUUUACAUGUUAUAGUGUGUAGGCUGUGGGAAAUAUAUGGUGUGUGUAUGUAUAUGUACUUGGGUGUGGGAGGCCUAUUGGCCAGUGUUUAUAGAUUCUGAUAUGUUGGUGUGGCAAUUAGUGGCAUACUGUGUGUGUGUGUGUGUAAAUUCUUUGGCCGAUGCUUGUAGAUAUGGAUGUGCCGAUGUGAUGAGUAGUGACAUGUUGUAUUUAUGGCCACUUGGCGGUUGAUAGAGCACUCACAUUGUUAGGUGUGUGUGAGGUCAUUAACCGACAUUGGUGGAGUUCGGUGGGACCAUUCAGUGGUCGUUGUCACGAGAAUAGCGGUGUGUAUUUGAUAUUAUAGUGUGAUGGUGCACGAGGCCAUGUAAUGGCCGACAUGGUGAUUGUGGUUACUGUUGGGGUGGGGGCCCAGGAUCCAGCGAGGGGGUGUGUGUGUGGUCUUGGUGGGCCGGUAUUGGAAAGGAUGUGUGAGAGACUGGUGGGGUAGAUUGAGAGGCUGUGUGGGUGUAGCGUAGGGACUACUAAAAUUGCAUUGAAUUAGUAAGGUAUUAUGGUUAAAACAAAGGGGUAUAGUGCAUUUCUGUUAUGUAGUUUGAACAUGAAGAGGCUAACGGUAAGGGGUUAGGUGGGAUUAAGAGGGAGUAGUUUUGUCAUUUAUUGAUUAUCAAGGGAGAAAAACAUAAUGAUAGAAGUAAAGAAAUGAUAGUAGGGAAUGAGGUUAUUUAAUUGUCAUUCGUUAGUUUUUAGUUCUAAAAUUCAUCUCAUUGGGUUAUGUAUACUCAUUACUUUCAUUUUCAGAUGCUUUGAGACGAUAAUCAAAAACGGAGUGCUUAGCAACGAAGCACCGGACCUAAAAGAAAUAAGAUGUUAUCAAUUAUAAUGAGACAUAGUAGUAUACUCACUGUAUUGAAAUAUUAUUAAAACUUCUAUGUGUAUGGUGAUAGUUUGAGAGUUUCUUUAAUUAUAUAGUUUAUUAUUGUAACGAAAAUUGAUUUCUUUACGAAUUAAUGGAUAUGAGAUUUGGUUAGAGGUUCUAAAUACUUUGUUCUAGGUAGAAUGAUGAAUAAUGUAUAAUCCUAUAACAAAAAUAGUAAAAGGGUGUUACACAAUAUACUAAUUAUGUAUUUUUGAAUUGUUAUUAUUUAUUUUAUUCCGUUUUAUUAUCACGUUCUACUAUACUUAAUCUCGUCUUGAUUUAUUCGUUUCAUUUGUUAUUCAUCGUAUCGUGACAUUUAAAGUUCUGAUUAUACUAUCCUAUUUUAUCAUAUUUCUAUUUACAAAUGUAUUCUCUUACGCAUUUCGAAAUCUGAAUUUUGUACUCUGGUGUUGUUUGGGAUAUGGGCAUACGUGUUAUUAAUUUCUAAAUAAUAAUAAAAAGAAAAAGUAUGCAUAAAUUAAUGUUAUUGAAUGAAAUGACUUAUCAGGUAUCGUAUAAAAUAGUGUACAGACUUGAUACAUAGGAUAAACCCUACUGUGAAUAUUAUCUUCAGCCGUACAAGGCUAGAAAGUCCCAUACUGGA